Molecule: long non-coding RNA, 511 nt
Filed under: Equus caballus (horse)
Lineage: Eukaryota; Metazoa; Chordata; Mammalia; Perissodactyla; Equidae
Description: lncRNA (ENSECAG00000055183.1)
Source: RNAcentral
GCAGACUGCAGCCCCCUCCCCGGGCCGCUGUGCCUCUGUGGGACACCCACUGCACGAGGCCAGGCCGGGGCUCAGAGCAUCGGGCACCACGGUCCCCGCCUCCCAGAGCCUCAGCCAGCAGGACGUGGACGAGGAAGGAGCACAGACAGCGUGCUGUGGCUGGUGGGGCGGUAGAGCGCUGGGGUCCUUGGGGAGCCGUGCAGGGCCCAGCGCCUCGGGGAUGGCGGCCUGGUGGCUCCCGCCUGCUGGCGGCAUCCAGUUCCAGAAGCAGCUUCCGAAUGUGGCUUCACCUCUGACAGCGUUUCUGAGCCGCGUUCCCGGCCGCCUCAUCCCUUGGGAGGUGAGCAGGCGACGCUCGAGUCCGCAGCACCGCGCUCGGGCCCUCUCCGGAGACCUCAGUGGAGCCCUCGCUGUACCUGCCCAUGGCCACUGACUAAAACAUGGGAUAAAGGAAGAGCGAGAAUGGUGACACCUUGGGACUCCAAGGGUCAGUUAUUUCCAAUCAGAGGAC